CCCUUAGAUGUUCUGGGCCGCACGCGCGCUACACUGACGGAGUCGACGAGUGGUCCUGCAUCGAAAGGUGUGGGUAAUCUUUGGAAACUUCGUCGUGCUGGGGAUAGAUCUUUGCAAUUAUCGAUCUUGAACGAGGAAUUCCUAGUAAGCGUGAUUCAUCAGAUCGCGUUGAUUACGUCCCUGCCCUUUGUACACACCGCCCGUCGCUACUACCGAUUGAAUGGUUUAGUGAGGCCUCGGGACUGGCGCAGGUCGGCGGUUUCGCCCCUUGCGCCGGGAACUUGGUCAAACUUGAUCAUUUAGAGGAAGUAAAAGUCGUAACA
RNAcentral lists this ribosomal RNA (323 nucleotides) under uncultured eukaryote. RNAcentral's name for it is "partial 18S ribosomal RNA". It matches the Rfam family "Eukaryotic small subunit ribosomal RNA", at positions 1470 to 1796 of the family's 1831-position model. The record is from RNAcentral.